This 230-nucleotide ribosomal RNA is filed under the name uncultured bacterium. Its description in RNAcentral is "partial 16S ribosomal RNA". It matches the Rfam family "Bacterial small subunit ribosomal RNA", at positions 563 to 791 of the family's 1533-position model. The record is from RNAcentral.
AAGCGUGCGCAGGCGGUUAUGUAAGACAGAUGUGAAAUCCCCGGGCCUCAACCUGGGAACUGCAUUUGUGACUGCAUGGCUAGAGUACGGUAGAGGGGGAUGGAAUUCCGCGUGUAGCAGUGAAAUGCGUAGAUAUGCGGAGGAACACCGAUGGCGAAGGCAAUCCCCUGGACCUGUACUGACGCUCAUGCACGAAAGCGUGGGGAGCAAACAGGAUUAGAUACCCCAGU